AGCGGUGGCCAAUCAAAUAAACCAAUAGGCGGGGUAACCGUUACAGGAGCAACGCUGCCUGCAGCCGGCCAUCAUAACGGACACAGAUUUCAAAGCGGGUGAAAGAUACUAGUUGCCAACCGCCAAUAAAAGUUAAAGAAGAAGAAAGAACAAGAUUACUAUGUGUCAGGUCUGUGUUCAUCAAGACUUGGAAGACUCUGGAGUAGGACAAAAAGGAUGAUGGGGUGUAUAUUCCAGUAGACACGUAAAACAUCAAGUGGGCUGCUGUAAUGUUUACGUCUAUGGAAAGAGGAGCUGAGAAGCAGUACUUCUUGUUGAGGACAAUCUUGAACACUUUCUCAUACACAUUUAUUAUUAUUAUUAGUGUUGGAUUGUUUUUGUUUCAAUUUUAUUAAUUGUAUUGUUUUAAUUUUUCGAUCGAUUUGAAAUUACCUCAGUUAGAUUCAUGCUAAUACUUUAACCCUAUAACUGUCACUGUCCCACAGGUGGGAUGUUUGGCAUUACAUAUUUAAAACAAUAAUUACAUAGUCUAAACCUACACCAAUCUUGACAAACGAUAUACCGUUGGAAAGCUCUAAGAAUGUAGUUUUAAUAUAUCAACACCAUUUUGAAAAAAAAUGUAUGUAGUAAGAGUCAUUUUCUAAAAUAUCGCAGACCAACAGUUGGGCCCAAAAUGUUAUUACAUAUUUAUUUGUAAAUAUCCCAUUAACCUGAAAUAACCUCGACAAACUAUAUAUUGUUGGAAAGCUCAGGGAAUGUAGUUUUCAUAUUUCAAGGCCAUUUGAUGAUAGAAUUUGUAUAGGGACAGUUAUUUUGUUAAAUGUCACUCACCCCAUAGGAAUACAUAUAAAUGAUUAUAAAUUUAUAACACUAAUACCCUAUAAACUUGAAAUAAUCUUGACAAACUAUAUAUUGUUGGAAAGCUCUAGGAAUGUAGUUUUCAUAUUUCAAGGCCAUUUGAGGAUGGAAAUUUAGUAGGGACAGUCAUUUUGUUAUUUGUCACUGACCCAGUAGGAGUCCAUAUGAAUUCGUAUAUAUUCAUAAUUCUAAUAUUCUUCAAAAUGAAUAUAUGAAUCUUCAAAAAUCUUGACAAACUAUAUAUCGUUGGAAAGCUCUAAGAAUGUAGUUUUCAUAUUUCAAAACCUUUUUGCAUUAAACACAAUGCAGAGACAGUAAUUUAUCAACUUUUGACAAGAUAUUGCAACUAACCGUUGACACCUAGUGGCCUUGGUUGGUAAAACCACUAAAAGUGUGACAGAAACUUCAUUUUUUGUUAUUUUCACCUAAAAUUUGGUUCAGAACUAGUUGAGACUUGUGUCUUUACUGGUGUGGUGUUUUGAGAGUAAAACAUUUU
This is a long non-coding RNA of Paramisgurnus dabryanus, 1354 nucleotides long. RefSeq lists it as uncharacterized. The record is from RefSeq and is a predicted model, not a curated record. Lineage: Eukaryota; Metazoa; Chordata; Actinopteri; Cypriniformes; Cobitidae.